AAAGUCCCCUUCGGGGGGCGAGUAGAGUGGCGCACGGGUGAGUAACACGUAGGUAAUCUACCUUUGGAUUGGGAAUAACAACCGGAAACGGUUGCUAAUACCGAAUAAUGCAGCGGCACCUAAUGGUGACAGUUGUUAAAGCGGGGGAUCGCAAGACCUCGCGUCUGAAGAGGAGCCUGCGGCAGAUUAGCUAGUUGGUAAGGUAACGGCUUACCAAGGCGAUGAUCUGUAGCCGGCCUGAGAGGGCGGUCGGCCACACUGACACUGACAUACGGGUCAGACUCCUACGGGAGGCAGCAGUCGGGAAUUUUGGGCAAUGGGCGAAAGCCUGACCCAGCAACGCCGCGUGAAGGAUGAAAUCCUUCGGGAUGUAAACUUCGCAAGAACGGGAAGAAUAAGUAAGGGUUAAUAUCUCUUACGAUGACGGUACUGUUUGUAAGCUCCGGCUAACUCCGUGCCAGCAGCCGCGGUAAUACGGGGGGAGCAAGCGUUGUUCGGAUUUACUGGGCGUAAAGGGCGCGUAGGCGGCCACCGCAAGUCGACUGUGAAAUCUCCGGGCUUAACCCGGAAAGGUCAGCCGAUACUGCGGGGCUAGAGUGCAGAAGGGGCAACUGGAAUUCUCGGUGUAGCGGUGAAAUGCGUAGAUAUCGAGAGGAACACCUGCGGCGAAGGCGGGUUGCUGGGCUGACACUGACGCUGAGGCGCGAAAGCUAGGGGAGCGAACGGGAUUAGAUACCCCGGUAGUCCUAGCCUUAAACGAUGAAUGCUUGGUGUCUGGGGUUUUAUAGUCCCCGGGUGCCGUCGCUAACGCUUUAAGCAUUCCGCCUGGGGAGUACGGUCGCAAGACUG
RNAcentral lists this ribosomal RNA (849 nucleotides) under uncultured Bacillota bacterium. Its description in RNAcentral is "bacterial SSU rRNA". It matches the Rfam family "Bacterial small subunit ribosomal RNA", at positions 70 to 896 of the family's 1533-position model. The record is from RNAcentral. Lineage: Bacteria; Bacillati; Bacillota.